GGGGUUGUAGCUCAGAUUGUAGAGCACUUGCCUAACAUGCAUGAAGCCCUGGGUUCAAUCCCCAGCAACCUCA
Molecule: non-coding RNA, 73 nt
Organism: Nannospalax galili (Upper Galilee mountains blind mole rat)
Lineage: Eukaryota; Metazoa; Chordata; Mammalia; Rodentia; Spalacidae
Source: the annotation of a RefSeq genome assembly